Monomorium pharaonis (pharaoh ant) is the source of this 670-nucleotide long non-coding RNA. RefSeq lists it as uncharacterized. The record is from RefSeq and is a predicted model, not a curated record. The transcript has 2 exons. NCBI's taxonomy places the organism in Eukaryota, Metazoa, Arthropoda, Insecta, Hymenoptera, Formicidae.
AAUAAAUUUAUUAACAAAAUCAGUUAGAAAUUUAUAUAGCGUCAGUAGGCUUGCACAUACCAUGAUAUACUCCAAUAAUAAAAGGCAUUGUGUAAACAUCAAUUUCUUCAAUUGAUGCCAAAAUCGGCCAAAAUUGACUACCGGAACUCUUACAAAGUGACCAGAAGAAAAGUGUACAUAGCAACCACAGCCUACACCUCUAAAAUUAACGGACGCAUUUCGUGGGGUUUCAAGUAAGACUCUGACAAUAUUAGGUAAUUCAAUAUGACCGUGUUUUUUUAGAAUCAAAGGUAAUUUGUUAGCUGUAUUAUGUGAAAUGUUCUCUUCAAUGAUUAAUUUUUGUAAAUCUGUUCGUAAAUUUGUUUAAUUUAUACAAUCGCUAAUAUCUGCCAAUGUAGGAGUGUCAUCUUUAUCAAAUGAAGAUCGUGAUUCAAUAUCACAUUCUUCAUCAAAUGAAGAACAUGAUUCAAUAUCUACCGGAGAAAGUGCUAUGUUCCGAACAAUCGAUUGUAUUGAAGAAUCUUUAUAACAAUGCAAUUCACAAUUAAUUAACCGGUUCCUUCAUCUUUUUGAUAAAUACCGUAUGUCCUUAGACAUGAUGCAGAGAGAUUGUGGUUAUUCAAGAAGGCUAUAAAAAUUUUACAUAAAAAAAUAUUUUUUUAAUGUUGUA